CCUACGGGUGGCAGCAGUCGAGAAUCAUUCACAAUGGGGGAACCCCUGAUGGUGCGACGCCGCGUGGGGGAAUGAAGGUCUUCGGAUUGUAAACCCCUGUCAUGUGGGAGCAAAUUAGAAAAAUAGUACCACAAGAGGAAGAGCCGGCUAACUCAGUGACAGCAGCCGCGGUACUACAGAGGGCUCAAGCGUUGUUCGGAAUCACGGGGCGUAAAGCGUGCGGGGGCUGUUUCGCCAGUCGUGUGUGAAAUGCGCGGGGUCAAACCUCGGACGGCACAUGAUACUGGGGGACUAGAGGAAGGGAGGGGGAACCGGAAUGCUCGGUGUAGCAGUGAAAUGCGUAGAUAUCGAGAGGAACACUAGUGGCGAAGGCGGGGUCCUGGACAUUAACUGACGCGGAGGCACGAAGGCCAGGGGAGCGAAAGGGAUUAGAUACCCGGGUAGUC
Molecule: ribosomal RNA, 446 nt
Filed under: uncultured bacterium
Lineage: Bacteria
Description: partial 16S ribosomal RNA
Rfam family: Bacterial small subunit ribosomal RNA
Source: RNAcentral